GCGGAAGGAUCAUUGUCGAUUCCUGCGAUAGCAGAAUGACCCGCUAACACGUAAAAACAUCGGGCAAGCGUCGGUGGGCUUGAUUCCCCCGUUGCGAACCCCAGGAAGGUGGGCGCUCCCGGGCGCUCGUCGGCCGACGAAAUCAACCGGGCGCGGAAUGCGCCAAGGAAAUCAGAAUAGAACUGUACGUUUGCUUCCCGUUCGUGGGAGGCGGCGUCUUUCCUAAACACAAACGACUCUCGGCAACGGAUAUCCCGGCUCUUGCAUCGAUGAAGAACGUAGCGAAAUGCGAUACUUGGUGUGAAUUGCAGAAUCCCGUGAACCAUCGAGUCUUUGAACGCAAGUUGCGCCCGAAGCCACUAGGCUGAGGGCACGCCUGCCUGGGUGUCACGCAUCGUGUUGCCCCCUGACCACUCACUCCUUGAGGAGCUGCAUUGGUUACAGGGCGGAUAUUGGCCUCCCGUGCCUUGCGGUGCGGUUGGCCUAAAAGCGAGUCUCUGGUGACAGAUGUUGCGAUAUUUGUGGUUGAAAUAAACACCCUCUUCUCUUGUCGUGCGAAUGCCUGUCACCUCGGUGAGCUCAGUACCCUCGAGUGCCGCACACGGCGCGCGCUUUACUGUGACACCAGACAGGYGGAUCAUCUCGCUGUUUACC
This 654-nucleotide ribosomal RNA is filed under the name Changium smyrnioides. RNAcentral's name for it is "eukaryotic LSU rRNA". The stretch from base 235 to 390 matches the Rfam family "5.8S ribosomal RNA". The record is from RNAcentral. Lineage: Eukaryota; Viridiplantae; Streptophyta; Magnoliopsida; Apiales; Apiaceae.